Molecule: ribosomal RNA, 411 nt
Filed under: Triticum aestivum (bread wheat)
Lineage: Eukaryota; Viridiplantae; Streptophyta; Magnoliopsida; Poales; Poaceae
Description: partial small subunit ribosomal RNA
Source: RNAcentral
AUGAAUGACAUCAACUGCGCUAUCAUGCCUUGGAACGUUAGAGGACUCAAUUCGGCGGCUAAACGAGAAACUGUUAGAGAGGUAGGCGCGGCACAGAGACUGGCCAUUCUCUGUUUGCAAGAAACAAAAAUAGAUGUUUGGUCUCAAGCCAUGGUAAACGACAUCGGAGGUAGUUCGAUGAAAGACACCGUAGUUCUUCCGGCGAUAGGAUCUAGAGGUGGCAUUGCGAUCUUCUGGAACAGAGAUCUUGUAUCUAUCUGUUCACAAGCCGUAGGCCAGUUUUCGAGCACGACUGUCGUCUCUCUUGUGAGCUCGGCAACUAGUUUUGUGCUCACCACGGUCUACGGCCCCUCGGACGGCACAAACAAGGAGGCAUUCUUCGCUGAAUUAGCUAGAUCAGCCCCCCCUUAG